AGAAGUUAUUUCACAAUUUGGAACCAAUUUAAUUACUCAUAAAAGAGUAUAAUCAAGCUACGACUCACAAGUCUUUAAAAUAGAGGAAAUGAAAUCAAUUUACAAAAGAAAUCAUUUCACAAUUCAGAAUCAAUUUGAUUACUCAUCAACCCCUCGUAAUUCCUCUCAAUGUUCCCUCAAAUGCAUGUACAGAAUAACAAGCAUGGAGAAUCAAGAUUAUAGAGGAAUCUACUACAAUAUCAAUCAAUAUGCUCAAGUGGAAUCAAUUCACACUUGGCGACAUUCAUGAAAAUGAAUUAAGGAUGCUCAUAGUGCAAAGUACAUGACUCCCACUCACCUGUCAACCCGGCACAGCCCUGAUUACGCCUCCAAAAAUCUACAGCAGGCAGUGGAUAACUUCUUCCUCUUGUUCCCUAGCUUCUUGCCCAACUGUGACAUGCAUUUACAAUACAUUUAGUCUUGUAUCAAGGGCUAUAAUCUACGUGCCAAUUAUAACAUAGGGAACUUUAAUUGAUUCAACUCCCCUGUUCCCUAAAUCUUUUCUUUUCUUUCUUCUUUUUCUUUUUAAUUAAUUAACUCACCAUUUAUGUGUAUUAGGGACUCCUUUGCAUGAGUACAAGGUCCCUUUUAGCUUGAUCUAGGCUUAAUACUCUAUUAUAGCAUGAAAUCCCCUAUUUUCCACCCGGAUAAACAGUAACCCGAACUGACAGUGGGUUACUUCAUCCCGAUUUUGAUCCACUUUCAGAACUCCAAAUUUGAUGAAAUUUUUACCUAACAUUCUACACUCAUAGAGGAUUCCAAAGAGAUAACAUGCAUCAUCAUCGGAGGCCGUUUGACCCCCUAAAUAAUUCGCCGAAGUUGGAACUUCGACACAGUUUUUCCGUAGUGCCGGAAAAAUUUGUCGAAAUCCGAUUCUUUCUCUUUUAACCACCUCUACAACCCUUACCU
RNAcentral lists this long non-coding RNA (948 nucleotides) under Phoenix dactylifera (date palm). RNAcentral describes it as "long non-coding RNA (PDAC_LNC008026)". The record is from RNAcentral. Lineage: Eukaryota; Viridiplantae; Streptophyta; Magnoliopsida; Arecales; Arecaceae.